UAAAAAAAAUUCAUUCUCCCGCUAUCCCUGUCCCCAAACCCUAGUCGUUUUCACCUUAUUGCUCAAAUUUAAACUCAAAAUCAAGAUUGAGGAGAUAAUCAAUUAAAUUGUCUCACAUUCUUUUUCUAAAUCUGUUGUUUUUCGAUUCAAUAUCUAAUCUAAUCAAUCUUGUGCUUCCUUCGAUUACAGAUUUUGUUGUGGCGAGAGGAUGAACAAUCAUAGUAGAAGCAACAGGAACACAGGCACUGGUCCACCCACUCAAUCGGUCCUUAAUAGUAUGUUGAAGCCUUGAGAUUCUUCUUUCAUGACUAUGUUGGUUCAUAACUUAUGCCUUAAAAGUGGACCCAACCUAGGUUCUAAAGCAUCAAAGAUUCGUAUUCUAUGUGAUUUUAAACAGCCUGACCCCGCCUGGUAAGCACAGCAUUUGGGUGAGGGGUCGGGUUGGGUGAGGCCAAAGCACUACUUUGUUGUUGUUGUUGUUGUUGUUGUUUUUACAAA
Molecule: long non-coding RNA, 498 nt
Filed under: Helianthus annuus (common sunflower)
Lineage: Eukaryota; Viridiplantae; Streptophyta; Magnoliopsida; Asterales; Asteraceae
Description: hypothetical non coding rna
Source: RNAcentral